Non-coding RNA from Cyanistes caeruleus (blue tit), 112 nucleotides. Lineage: Eukaryota; Metazoa; Chordata; Aves; Passeriformes; Paridae. The record is from RefSeq and is a predicted model, not a curated record.
GAGGGGACAAAAUUGUUACAAUAUGUAGAUGACUUGUUAAUUGCCGGAACGACGGAAGAAAAGACACAGCUGUCCGGACUGCAGAAAGGAGCUGGACACACUCACCUCGAGU